Peromyscus maniculatus bairdii (prairie deer mouse) is the source of this 168-nucleotide non-coding RNA. The record is from RefSeq and is a predicted model, not a curated record. Lineage: Eukaryota; Metazoa; Chordata; Mammalia; Rodentia; Cricetidae.
CUCGAGGCUAUCCUUUAUUUUCUAUCUGUUUAUCUCUGCAAGAUUCUCUGCUAUAAAUCCUUUUAUCUAAUAUUUCCUGCUGCUCGCACUCAAGAAAACUCUGGGGAGCUGUGGGGCUGGUGAGUAAACGCCCCACAGUGAAGGAAACAUGAAGAAAGGCUGUCAGCA